Molecule: non-coding RNA, 72 nt
Organism: Phthorimaea operculella (potato tuberworm)
Lineage: Eukaryota; Metazoa; Arthropoda; Insecta; Lepidoptera; Gelechiidae
Source: the annotation of a GenBank genome assembly
GCGCCGGUAGCUCCGUUGGAAGAGCAGUGGGACGGUACCCCACGGUCUCGGGUUCAAGUCUCGGCCGACGCU